RNAcentral lists this ribosomal RNA (484 nucleotides) under uncultured bacterium. RNAcentral's name for it is "partial 16S ribosomal RNA". It matches the Rfam family "Bacterial small subunit ribosomal RNA", at positions 30 to 507 of the family's 1533-position model. The record is from RNAcentral.
AUUGAACGCUGGCGGCAGGCCUAACACAUGCAAGUCGAGCGGAAGAAGGGAGCUUGCUCCUGGAUUCAGCGGCGGACGGGUGAGUAAUGCCUAGGAAUCUGCCUGGUAGUUGGGGAUAACGUCCUGAAACGGGCGCUAAUACCUCAUACGUCCUGAGUGAGAAAGAGAGGGAUCUUCGGACUUCACGCUAUCAGAUGAGCCUAGGUCGGAUUAGCUAGUUGGUGGGGUAAAGGCCUACCAAGGCGACGAUCCGUAACUGGUCUGAGAGGAUGAUCAGUCACACUGGAACUGAGACACGGUCCAGACUCCUACGGGCGGCAGCAGUGGGGAAUAUUGGACCAUGGGCGAAAGCCUGAUCCAGCCAUGCCGAGUGUGUGAAGAAGGUCUUCGGAUUGUAAAGCACUUUUAGUUGGGAGGAAGGGCAGUAAGUUAAUACCUUGCUGUUUUGACGUUACCAACAGAAUAAGCACCGGCUAACUUCGUG